CCUACGGGACGCAGCAGUAGGGAAUCUUCGGCAAUGGACGAAAGUCUGACCGAGCAACGCCGCGUGAGUGAAGAAGGUUUUCGGAUCGUAAAACUCUGUUGUUAGAGAAGAACAAGGACGUUAGUAACUGAACGUCCCCUGACGGUAUCUAACCAGAAAGCCACGGCUAACUACGUGCCAGCAGCCGCGGUAAUACGUAGGUGGCAAGCGUUGUCCGGAUUUAUUGGGCGUAAAGCGAGCGCAGGCGGUUUCUUAAGUCUGAUGUGAAAGCCCCCGGCUCAACCGGGGAGGGUCAUUGGAAACUGGGAGACUUGAGUGCAGAAGAGGAGAGUGGAAUUCCAUGUGUAGCGGUGAAAUGCGUAGAUAUAUGGAGGAACACCAGUGGCGAAGGCGACUCUCUGGUCUGUAACUGACGCUCAGGUGCGAAAGCGUGGGGAGCAAACAGGAUUAGAUACCCGCGUAGUC
RNAcentral lists this ribosomal RNA (465 nucleotides) under uncultured bacterium. RNAcentral describes it as "bacterial SSU rRNA". It matches the Rfam family "Bacterial small subunit ribosomal RNA", at positions 338 to 795 of the family's 1533-position model. The record is from RNAcentral.